Molecule: ribosomal RNA, 253 nt
Filed under: uncultured bacterium
Lineage: Bacteria
Description: partial 16S ribosomal RNA
Rfam family: Bacterial small subunit ribosomal RNA
Source: RNAcentral
UACGUAGGGUGCAAGCGUUGUCCGGAAUUAUUGGGCGUAAAGGGCUCGUAGGCGGUCUGUCACGUCGGGAGUGAAAACUCAGGGCUUAACCCUGAGCCUGCUUCCGAUACGGGCAGACUAGAGGUAUGCAGGGGAGAACGGAAUUCCUGGUGUAGCGGUGAAAUGCGCAGAUAUCAGGAGGAACACCGGUGGCGAAGGCGGUUCUCUGGGCCUGUACUGACGCUGAGGAACGAAAGCGUGGGGAGCGAACAGG